Molecule: ribosomal RNA, 3124 nt
Filed under: Streptomyces phaeochromogenes
Lineage: Bacteria; Bacillati; Actinomycetota; Actinomycetes; Kitasatosporales; Streptomycetaceae
Description: 23S ribosomal RNA
Rfam family: Bacterial large subunit ribosomal RNA
Source: RNAcentral
GGCCAAGUUUUUAAGGGCGCACGGUGGAUGCCUUGGUACCAGGAACCGAUGAAGGACGUGGGAGGCCACGAUAGUCCCCGGGGAGCCGUCAACCAGGCUUUGAUCCGGGGGUUUCCGAAUGGGGAAACCCGGCAGUCGUCAUGGGCUGUCACCCACAUCUGAACACAUAGGGUGUGUGGAGGGAACGCGGGGAAGUGAAACAUCUCAGUACCCGCAGGAAGAGAAAACAACCGUGAUUCCGGGAGUAGUGGCGAGCGAAACCGGAUGAGGCCAAACCGUAUACGUGUGAGACCCGGCAGGGGUUGCGUGUACGGGGUUGUGGGAUCUCUCUUUCACAGUCUGCCGGCUGUGAGACGAGUCAGAAACCGUUGGUGUAGGCGAAGGACAUGCGAAAGGUCCGGCGUAGAGGGUAAGACCCCCGUAGUCGAAACAUCAACGGCUCGUUUGAGAGACACCCAAGUAGCACGGGGCCCGAGAAAUCCCGUGUGAAUCUGGCGGGACCACCCGCUAAGCCUAAAUAUUCCCUGGUGACCGAUAGCGGAUAGUACCGUGAGGGAAUGGUGAAAAGUACCGCGGGAGCGGAGUGAAAUAGUACCUGAAACCGUGUGCCUACAAGCCGUGGGAGCGUCGCUCAUCAAGUUUACUUGGUGGGUCGUGACUGCGUGCCUUUUGAAGAAUGAGCCUGCGAGUUUGCGGUGUGUUGCGAGGUUAACCCGUGUGGGGAAGCCGUAGCGAAAGCGAGUCCGAACAGGGCGAUUCAGUAGCGCGCUCAAGACCCGAAGCGGAGUGAUCUAGCCAUGGGCAGGUUGAAGCGGCUGUAAGAGGUCGUGGAGGACCGAACCCACCAGGGUUGAAAACCUGGGGGAUGACCUGUGGUUAGGGGUGAAAGGCCAAUCAAACUCCGUGAUAGCUGGUUCUCCCCGAAAUGCAUUUAGGUGCAGCGUCGUGUGUUUCUUGCCGGAGGUAGAGCACUGGAUAGGCGAUGGGCCCUACCGGGUUACUGACCUUAGCCAAACUCCGAAUGCCGGUAAGUGAGAGCACGGCAGUGAGACUGUGGGGGAUAAGCUCCAUGGUCGAGAGGGAAACAGCCCAGAGCAUCGACUAAGGCCCCUAAGCGUACGCUAAGUGGGAAAGGAUGUGGAGUCGCAGAGACAACCAGGAGGUUGGCUUAGAAGCAGCCACCCUUGAAAGAGUGCGUAAUAGCUCACUGGUCUAGUGAUUCCGCGCCGACAAUGUAGCGGGGCUCAAGCGUACCGCCGAAGUCGUGUCAUUUCAGCAUAUAGGGCCAACGCCCGCUGGGAUGGGUAGGGGAGCGUCGUGUGCCGGGUGAAGCCGCAGCGGAAGCUAGUGGUGGACGGUUCACGAGUGAGAAUGCAGGCAUGAGUAGCGAUACACACGUGAGAAACGUGUGCGCCGAUUGACUAAGGGUUCCUGGGUCAAGCUGAUCUGCCCAGGGUAAGUCGGGACCUAAGGCGAGGCCGACAGGCGUAGUCGAUGGAUAACCGGUUGAUAUUCCGGUACCCGCUGUGAAGCGUCAAACAGUGAACCAGGCGAUGCUAAGUCCGUGAAGCCGCCCUGGAGCCUUCGGGCAAAGGGGAGUGGUGGAGCCGACGGACCAGACCUGUAGUAGGUGAGUGAUGGGGUGACGCAGGAAGGUAGUCCAGCCCGGGCGGUGGUUGUCCCGGGGUAAGGGUGUAGGCCGUGUGGUAGGUAAAUCCGUCGCACAUUAAGGCUGAGACCUGAUGCCGAGCCGAUUGUGGUGAAGUGGAUGAUCCUAUGCUGUCGAGAAAAGCCUCUAGCGAGUUUCAUGGCGGCCCGUACCCUAAACCGACUCAGGUGGUCAGGUAGAGAAUACCGAGGCGUUCGGGUGAACUAUGGUUAAGGAACUCGGCAAAAUGCCCCCGUAACUUCGGGAGAAGGGGGGCCAUCACUGGUGAUCCGUUUUACACGGUGAGCUGGGGGUGGCCGCAGAGACCAGCGAGAAGCGACUGUUUACUAAAAACACAGGUCCGUGCGAAGCCGUAAGGCGAUGUAUACGGACUGACGCCUGCCCGGUGCUGGAACGUUAAGGGGACCGGUUAGUGCACUUUCGGGUGUGCGAAGCUGAGAACUUAAGCGCCAGUAAACGGCGGUGGUAACUAUAACCAUCCUAAGGUAGCGAAAUUCCUUGUCGGGUAAGUUCCGACCUGCACGAAUGGCGUAACGACUUCUCGACUGUCUCAACCAUAGGCCCGGUGAAAUUGCACUACGAGUAAAGAUGCUCGUUUCGCGCAGCAGGACGGAAAGACCCCGGGACCUUUACUACAGUUUGAUAUUGGUGUUCGGUUCGGCUUGUGUAGGAUAGCUGGGAGACUGUGAAGUCAUGGCGCCAGCCAUGGUGGAGUCGUCGUUGAAAUACCAGUCUGGUCGUGCUGGAUGUCUAACCUGGGUCCGUGAUCCGGAUCAGGGACAGUGUCUGAUGGGUAGUUUAACUGGGGCGGUUGCCUCCUAAAGAGUAACGGAGGCGCCCAAAGGUUCCCUCAGCCUGGUUGGCAAUCAGGUGUUGAGUGUAAGUGCACAAGGGAGCUUGACUGUGAGACCGACGGGUCGAGCAGGGACGAAAGUCGGGACUAGUGAUCCGGCGGUGGCUUGUGGAAGCGCCGUCGCUCAACGGAUAAAAGGUACCCCGGGGAUAACAGGCUGAUCUUCCCCAAGAGUCCAUAUCGACGGGAUGGUUUGGCACCUCGAUGUCGGCUCGUCGCAUCCUGGGGCUGGAGUCGGUCCCAAGGGUUGGGCUGUUCGCCCAUUAAAGCGGUACGCGAGCUGGGUUUAGAACGUCGUGAGACAGUUCGGUCCCUAUCCGCUGUGCGCGUAGGAAUAUUGAGAAGGGCUGUCCCUAGUACGAGAGGACCGGGACGGACGAACCUCUGGUGUGCCAGUUGUCCUGCCAAGGGCAUGGCUGGUUGGCUACGUUCGGGAGGGAUAACCGCUGAAAGCAUCUAAGCGGGAAGCCUGCUUCGAGAUGAGUAUUCCCACCAACUAGAUUGGUUAAGGCUCCCAGUAGACGACUGGGUUGAUAGGCCGGAUGUGGAAGCCUCGUAAGGGGUGAAGCUGACCGGUACUAAUAGGCCGAGGGCUUGUCCUC